This is a long non-coding RNA of Stylophora pistillata, 1004 nucleotides long. NCBI's taxonomy places the organism in Eukaryota, Metazoa, Cnidaria, Anthozoa, Scleractinia, Pocilloporidae. The record is from RefSeq and is a predicted model, not a curated record.
UACAGAAUUGACCACCAGCUACAAAUUGCACCUAUCCACAGACGGUGUAACUUGGACAACUUACAAGGAAUCAAAAGCUGAAAAGGUGUUCCCAGGAAACUCAGACCGAAACACCGUUGUAAAGAAUCCACUCAUUACUGACGUCAGUGCCAGAUACAUUCGGUUCUAUCCCGUCACGUUUCUAAAUUUUCCAUGCUUGAGAGUUGAAGUAUUCGUGCGAAAAUGAUGGCAAUUUUUACUGAUUUUUUUUCCUCUAUAUCAUUGGCCAAAGGAGACAAAGACAAACUGUCGAUGCCUAAUGCAAAAAACGUAUACCAGAAAGAGAGUUCAGAUUUCCAUUAAUCUAAGAUGCGUAAUAAAGGAAAUAAAGUGGGGAAAGGAUCAGAGAGAUCUGAUGCACUUAAUCCGUUGUGAAAACCACUUUAGAAGCUUCUCUUAUCUAGUACAAAAUUGGUUCAAAGUGUUCAAGCCUUGUAUACAAAUUAUCGCUUGGAAUUUUUUUUUCUGUUUUAGCUUCAAAUCAUAUAGGGCCUAACUUAGCAUAGCUAAUCCUCGCUUUGACAGUCUGCAUGUUAAAGAAAAGUUUGCAGCAACAACAGCAGAAGGUAUACCGCAAAAAACGUAAGAUUCUAAAAAUAAAUAUCUAAUCACACUGUUUUGGUAACAUAUAUUUGAUGUAAGUUAUACUCUGCGUUUUAGAAAUCGAUACAUUCUGAGCAUUUUGUAUUAGUAAUAAGUAUAUUUUCACUAGCAGUUGUCAGCAAUGGUGUCCAGGUACGUUUAGCUCUUAACUAGAUCUUUCCGGAAAUCAUUUUGCAGUCGAGCCAAUGCUGACGAUUACACAAGCUUGUAAAGGAAGAGAAAAUGUUAUUUAACAUACCCUUAGUAGUUAAAGUAAAGGAAGAAUAAUAAUUCAAUUCAUUAAAAAAGGAGGAAGGAGGUGUUGUCUUUGAGACUGAUGCUACAUUUCAAAUAAAAGUCGAGUGACGUUAGAAACCCUUUAA